UUUUUUUUUUUUUUUUUUUUACUUUUUGCAUAAAAGUAUAGUUCUAUGUCGUUUUACCACCCAGGGACAUGUGUGUAACCACCACUGCAGUCAAUUUAUAGUAUUAUUCUAUCACCUAAAGAUAUUCCUUAUGCUACUCCUUUGUAGUCAUACCAUCCCAAGAUCCCUAAUCCCCACCCAAGAUUCCUAAUCCCUGACAACACAUAAUAUGUUUUCCAUCUCUGCAAUUUCUUCUUUCUUUUUUUUUUUAAGAUUUUAUUUAUUUAUUCAUGAGAAACACACAGAAAGAGGUGGAAACACAGGCUUCCUGCAGGGGGCCCAAUGUGGGACUCGAUCCCAGAGCUCGGGAUCACGACCUGAGCCCAAGGCAGACGGUCAACCACUGAGCCACCACCCAGGUGUCCCUCUGCAAUUUAUUUCAAGAAUGCUUUAUAAAUGAAAUGCUUUUUUAUUCGGCAUAAUGUCUCUGAGGCUUACUGAAGUCAUUGGUGUUUUUCCAUAGUUGACAGCUUUCUUUGCUGAAUAGUUGUCCAUGCUAUGGAUGUAACUGCAGUUUGCUUAGCCAUUCAUUCAUCAUAGGACAUUUUAAUUAUUUCCAGAUUGGGGCUAUCACAAGCAAAACUGCCCCAAACAACAAUUUAUGUGUUUCUGUGUAGAGAUUAGUUUUCAUUUCUUUUUGAAUAAAUGCCCAGAAGUGCAUUUUUCUAGGUUGUAUGAAAUGCAUAUUUUUAGAGUUUAAGAAUAUAUCAACUAUUUUCCAGUUUGUACCAUUUGACCUUCUCCCCCAGCAAUAUAUGAUACUUUUUGCCAUAUCCUCACUAAUAUUUAAUAUUUUCACCAUUGCUUUAUUUUAGCUGUUCUUUUUCUUUUUUUUGAGAUUGUAUUUAUUUAUUCAUGAGAAACACAGAGAAAGAAAAGCAGAGACACAGGCAGAGGGAGAAGCAGGCUCCAUGCAAGGAGCUCAAUGUGAGACUUCAUCCCAAGACCCCAGGGUCAUGGCCUGGGCCGAAGGCAGGUGCUCAACCGCUGAGCCACCCCAGGUGUCCCUACUUUGCUAAUAGAUGUUUACUGAUACUUUAUUGUGGUCUUAAUAUAUUUAAUAAGAAAACAAAAUAUUUUUUUCAUGAAAAAAUAUUUCUAAAUAGGCAAGAAACUCUGUCUUUUUUAAGUAUUAACUGACAUUUGGGGGAAAAAGAUAAUUUUGCUAUAAAUUAUUAGAAAAUUGAAGAAAUAGGAAUAAAAAUAUCUAUUUCAAAAAAAUUAAAAAAUAAAAAAAAUAAAUAAAAUAAAAUAAAAUCAAAAUAUCUAUUUCAGGUUAGUUGAGACUGAAACCGGACUUUCUGGACUAAAGUUUAAAAACAUUCCACAUUCCAUGAGGAAUUAUAUAAUUUUAUCUGUAAGCUUCAGGAAUAACAAUGACAAAGAAAAAACAUAUCUCAAUUAUAUGUGGAAUCCAAAAAAGGAGAAUAUAUAGAAGCAGGGAGUAAAAGGGUGGUUGUUGGGAGGAGGGAGGUGGGAGAAAUAGGGAGAUGCUGGUUGAGGUAUAGAGUUGUAGUUACUUAGGAUGAGUAAGUCUAGACAGCCUAGGCAUGACAUGAUGGUUAUAGUUAAUAAUGAUGUGGUGGGGACUGGAAACUUGCUAAGAGAAUAGAUUUCAGGUGCUCUCACCAACACACACAAAGGAGACUAUGUGAAGAUAGGAAUAUGUUAAUUAGUUUGAGUGUACUAAUUAUUUUACUCUGUAUAGGGCUAUCAAACCAGCAUGUUAUACAUCUUAAAUAUACAAUUGUUAUUAAAAUAUAAUAAUAGAAAACACAUUUCUGUUAUCCAUCUUCCUGUUGCACAAUCCCCAGGACUCACACUCAUUAUCUCAAUAUAACUGAAAAAAACAUACUUUUGGAAAAAUACAGUUAUAUCCCUUGGGUAUGACUGUCUUAGGUCUUAGGAAAGUAUAACCCCUAGUUACAAGUGUGAAUUCUCAGAGUUGCAGCUCCAUAUUCCCUAAGUUUAAAUAAAUAAAUAAAUUAAAGGUCUAUGUGUAAGAUAUGUUAAGAUAACAAAUGAUUUGGGACACCUGGGUGUCUCAGCGAUUGAGCGUCUGCCUUCAGCUCAGGGCGUGAUCCUGGGGUCCCGGGAUCGAGUCCUGCAUCGGGCUUCCUGCAUGGAGCCUGCUUCUCCCUCUGCCUGUGUCUCUGCCUCUCUGUGUGUGUCUCUCAUGAACAAAUAAAUAAAAUAUUAAGAAAAUAAAAAUAAAUGAUUUUAGUAUAAAAUGUGCUACUAUAAUAUUAGAAAUAGAGUAAAACUCAGAAUUUAGGUUUCUAACAUUGAGAAAUUACAUGGAACUAGAAAGUAGUUUCCUUGGUAAUUUAACCAAAGUAAAUCUUCUCUCUAACUGAAAUAGCGUGCACACACACAUACUCACACACACACCAUAACAUUUCCUUUGCAUUUUCUUAAAAGGGACUUUUUUUUUUUUCUUUCAGAACAUAUGUUAGCAUUUCAUUUAGGGUCUUAUUAAAAAUGCCCUGGCAUUUCUGCUUGUCUGAAUAGAAUUUCACUACCUCACACAUCUUGAGCAUUAUAAAAUACUGCAUUAACCUUUCUAACAGAGCUUGAUAUGACACAGAAGAUAUAUUUUUUCCGGGAGAAUGUAUUAUUCAUUAAGUAAAUAGUAGAAGCAAUAUGAAAGAAUUGUCUGAGUACUAAAAUUUAAUCAAAGCAAUUAAAGUCAAAGGUGUUAAUAUAUUGCUAGACAUAUUAGAGUCAUUAAAUAUUGUUGGACUUUUCCUUCAGGAAUGAAAUAGACUCCUACUUCAAGUACUCAUCUGAACUUUUAUUAUGCCUCAUCAUUUUUGUACUAACUCAUGAUGCUGAAUUUAUUCCAAGUACUUGUGCGUAAGAUACUGUGAAUUUUACAUUAUUUUUCUGUUGUGUCUAUAGUUGAUAAAUCAUUUGUAACUCACUAUUUAUUAUAUUACUGCUUUAGAGACCUAGUAUAAUAAUGUGCCAGAGAAAUGUUUCAAUAGAUAGAAAUAAUUUCAUAUAACCAUGACACCAAUAAUUUCCAGGAAAAAUAAUUUUUCCACACAAUGCUUUAUGAUUUGACAGCGAAUACUUGAAUGCCAUAUGUCAUUUAUAUAAGCACACUAAAGACUUUUACUUACAGUCAAAUAGGACAGGAAUUACCAGGAUGAGUACCUACACUGUGUCAUCCUCACACUAGACACUUUAUAUUCAGACUCUCACUUCUUAUUAUUAUUGGCAUUUUCAAAUGAAACUCAGAAUAGCUUGCCCAAGAAUCUAAUAGGUAAAAGGCAAACACAAUCUGUAAACCGAGAAUAUAUUAAAACAAUCUUGGGUAGCUCUUGACUGCAGACAAUAAAUGCAAUGACAGGAAAUAACUAGUAUAUGGCAGUCAGACUACCCACACCUGGUUAAAUAAAGAUUUUGAGUAGAAUCCUCAAAGUCGUUAAACAGAGAGAAAAUUAGGAAAGUAUGCAAAUACACUGGUCUUAUGGGAAAGAAACCCAAGAUACAUUAAACCACCAGAAAUACAAAUAGCUAACUCAAUAAACUUUUCAGAAUUCCUAAUAUAAACUGGCAUCUAUGAUUCAAAUAUUAAUGAAAUGUUAAGUGGGAACACACAAAAUUUAAAGCUGAUCUCUCAUUUUAAGCUAUGCCAUAGUUGGAUGAUUUAAUGACAAAGAGCGGGAAAACGUGAAUUACUAAAGGAUAGAGAUCGGUCAGUGCAUAUUAUUGCUUCUAUGCCUAUAAAUUCGUUCCCAAUAACAGGAAAUACCCAUUAUGUUUCCAGCUUUGUGAUUUCUGAGUGGGGAAUAAAGAAAGUGUGGGAGUCUAAGGGCGGCCGUGCCCUGGAGCUGUGGUUGCUCAGAUUUUCAGAUCAGGCUUCCUGGUCAGGGGUUCCUGUGUUAUAUUGUACACCUUACACUUAUGCAAUGUUGCAUGUAAUUAUAUCUCAAUAAAACUGGGAGGGAAAAAGGGAAAGAUUUUGCACCUGGACAUUCUUCCCAGCCCAACAAACAGCUUUCCAGAGAUGGGUGGUGUUCUGAUCCUUCAAUGCAGAUGUCCGAGCCAUGUAGAGAGCUAUCAAUAGCUCCUGUUUCAUUUGUGACACUAACUUUCUUCUAUUCUGCAACAGAAACAUGAAAAAUAAAGAAGUAUAAUUUCCAAAAAAAAAAAA
This 4201-nucleotide long non-coding RNA is filed under the name Canis lupus familiaris (dog). RNAcentral's name for it is "lncRNA (ENSCAFG00845016797.1)". Lineage: Eukaryota; Metazoa; Chordata; Mammalia; Carnivora; Canidae. The record is from RNAcentral.